This is a long non-coding RNA of Ictalurus punctatus (channel catfish), 2441 nucleotides long. RefSeq lists it as uncharacterized. The record is from RefSeq and is a predicted model, not a curated record. NCBI's taxonomy places the organism in Eukaryota, Metazoa, Chordata, Actinopteri, Siluriformes, Ictaluridae. The transcript is spliced from 3 exons.
UGGUACAGCGGGUUGUCCACUAAUCGUAGGGAUGGCGGUUCGAUUCCCGGCCCACGUGACUCCACAUGCCGAAGUGUCCUUGAAAGACAGACACUGAACCCCGAGUUGCUCCCGAUGGCAAGUUAGCACCUUGCAUAGCAGCUCUGCUACCAUGUGUGUGUGUGUGUGUGAAUGAGACCGUGAAAAGCGCUUUGGAACCGCUAAGGUUAAAAAAGCGCCAUAUAAGCGCAGACCAUUUACCAUGCAACCCCGAAACCAUUUUUCCUUUAACGUCACCCAUCUGCAGUUCCUGUACUGGAUCGUCAUUACGAAAAGUUUGUGAACGUCAGUAGAAGGGAGCUGUGUGUGCACUCAAGCACCAGAGAGCUGGAAAUCAUUUCUCAAAGAUCUUCCCCUGCUUUCCCUCACUGGAAAAGCCUGAGGCCCACAGAAGGAAGCAGGGAGGCUGCAGUAAGUUUUAAAUGUAGCGUGGACAUCCAGUAAGCAAGAACUCCUCCCACCCAAAAAAAAAAAAAAAAAAAAACAUUUGAAACCAAACCAGCCCACAGAGAUCCAGGCACAUGAAUGGAGUGUUUUCCGUUACUCACAUUCCUGAGCUUCGGUUAAGCUGAGCUCACGGAAACGGUUGAGUGUGACAGUUAUUUUCUAAAAGGGGACGUUGAGAACAGAAAACUUAAUCCGGUGCUAAAGAAGGAGGGAUCCCUGAAAGCUGGAACGCAUCAGGAAAGAGUCGAACCUUGUGUGUUUCGUCACUAUGUCUCAGUCUCGCUGUAGAGUGCUGUAGCACACACUCCGGCUGUAGUUACACUCUGACGAAGGCUUCUGUCGUCUGUUUGAACCGUUAUCUCCUGUGACUUUACGAUAUCACUCAAGAGUGGAAAUGAUCUGCCAGGAGGUGGUGAGAAACUGAGCGCUUCAGCAGCUGAGCCCUUCCUCGCUGACCAAUAGCAAGACAUUUCAGAGAUGCUUACAUCAUCAGGCAAUAAUCAGAGCAGGGGAUUCGUCAGCCAAUUAUCACUCCGGCAAAUGAAGAGCCAUGCAAUCAAGUGUGCAGAAGGGUGCCUCUGCAUCAGCUGUUAUUACAUGAGCAGUGGAUGUGCAGUUCCUCACCAGGGCUCUACGGUAACAAUUUCUUUUAGAAGCACUUGUGUUCCUAAUUACAAAAAUUCAGGAGCACGAUUGAACUUUUGGGGGGGUUUUUAGAGAUGGUAAUGUUAAUGUGCCACAAUAUAACGCACAAGUACUCAUGAGAAAACUUGAGAAUUCAGGAACACCGUGUGAGCCAUGGCACAUUAAUUUACCUUCUGAUAAACUAAACUUGAUAUUUCCAGUUAAUUUUACAGACUGUAUGCAAAAAACAACAACUGUUCCAUCUUGUAAACAAAUACAAUAAACAUCAAUGUUCAGUGUUUGAAGUCUGCUCCUCUUAAAUAUAUGUAACGCUACCACUAUUAGACAUUUUCCACUGUCAUGGUUCUGGGCUGGAGUCAGUUCCUGAACCGCUCGGUGUAUAUUGUGUACAUAUCUGAAUAAUCUCAUACAGGAUAUGACCGAGUGAGUCAUUUACCCGUCAGAUGCGAAGCACUUUAGUUUAACGGUGUUCAUUAGGGACGCACCGAUCGGGAUUUUUACAGCCGAUACCGAGUUCUUGUCAACCGAUCCAGAUACCAAUCUUUUUUUUCCCGUUUAAGCUUUAAUCAGGAGGUCGGUCAUAAACAGUUAAAUGUAAGCUCUCUGCUCAUGGUCACUGUUCAUUGAAUUAAAAUAAUAGCAAUGAGAAAUACUGAAAUACUAAAUUUAAAGGAUAUUUGUGUCAGUACUCCAGUACCAAUGAAUAUUCGUAAGAAUUAAAACUUCAUUCAUGGCUUUUUGAAAGGAUGUACGUGCAUUUUUAUGCUAUUAUAUUAUUACAUCAGUGGCAUAAAAUGGUUUUAAAAUGACUAUAAUAUCAUUUAUCAUGAUUAUUUCUGGGACAAUAUAUCGGCCAACAAAAGUAGUUAUCCAGACCGGCCUAGCAGUCGCACUCGGGCACAGACCCAGACAACCGUCUCAGCAUGAUUCGCUCGCAGAAAGAGAGCGACUUGGUCCUGAAUCAACUCAACUGCGACAGUUUGUAUUUUGAGUUGCAGCAUUUGGUUUUUGCAAAACGUGAGCUGCUAAACACUUAUUUAUAUAACUGGCUAAUACUUCAUUGCGUGCCAGCUCCAUGUUCACCUCGCUCAUCAGAUUUUGGUAAAGGUUGUUUUUUUUUUUAACCCUCUUUCGUCAGGUAUUUCUGACCAAUUAAUGAACGUGCACGUUUUCAGCCCUUCACGUCCCACAGUCAGAUUUCUUUUGGCUUUUAGGUUCCUUUCAUUAAGUGCAGUGAGAAAACAAAACAAACCAAAGAGCAAAUUAAUUUAAAAAAACUUGCUGCGAUUCGGUAACCAGACUAAUAGUUA